This 1065-nucleotide long non-coding RNA is filed under the name Nicotiana benthamiana. Its description in RNAcentral is "long non-coding RNA (NBEN_LNC015919)". The record is from RNAcentral. Lineage: Eukaryota; Viridiplantae; Streptophyta; Magnoliopsida; Solanales; Solanaceae.
UAAGUCAUACUAUGGCCUCCAAUUGUCAUCGCUAACCUAGCAAAAAAUAGUAGCAAUAAAUAUACUGGCCGAAGUCAUUAGUUACAUCACCAACCAAAUUGUUUUGACAAAAAACAAAGUCCUAAACCAUUACUCCAGAAAUAUAUUUCCCAUUACCCCAACAUAGUAGACUUCUUUCCCUAUCCCUUUCUUGCUUGCAUCUUUCCAAUUUUUUUCUGAGCUUGCAUCUCCAGUUGGUUGCUACUUACAGAAUCUUUUUCCUUCCAUGCGAGUCCUCUUGGUGAGUAGAGCAAAUUUGAAGGAUCGCUCACACCAGUUGAAUCACCUCUCACGGGGAUAACUCUUGACAUAGAUGAAGACUUAGUUAUUGUCUCACUUGAAGCCUUGUACUUUCCUAUGAAAUAAUUUGUGGCCUUAUUGCAGGCUCUUCUUCAUUUACAAAUUUCUGGGGUAAAGUUCUCCUACUAGCAACAUCUCUUAAAUCCAAAACUACAUCAAAAAUAGUUGGAGUAGGAAUAAACACCAGUGGAUUGCCGAAGGCUUGACAAUUUUGAGAUUGAUGGGGACAUGAUAAUGGUAUCUCUUCAUCAAUAUCUUCAUAAUCUACAAAUCGUUUCCUUUCAUUGUUUGCUGUCAUAAUCUAGAGCGCCAUUUUCAGAGAACCCCACCCCCCGAUCGACGAGCUUCUUCUUCUUAGCCAUUUUUGAUGGUUUAAGCUGAAGCCUAAACGAUCACCCCAUGAGCUCUGGUUCUUGAUCAAAAUCACAGAGCUUUAAGCAUCAUCCUCAUUGACCUAGGGCACCAGCGGCUUCUUCUUCCUCGACUGAACUCCGUCACCACCGGAAAUGGCCGGAAACUGGCGACGGAAUUUCGUUUCGUCAAUGGAGUUCGAUUAAAGCUCUUGGAGAGUUUGUUUGAGGUUGUUGACUGAGUUUCAAGUUCGUUGUUCCAUUUAGUGUAACGUUUCCGUUGAGAUCGAGUCCCGUUAAAGCCCGUUCGUAGGUCGUUAGCUCUGUUCGUUGGGUCUGUACAGCACCGUCGAGGCAGUUGGUAUCGAGGUUCUUU